RNAcentral lists this ribosomal RNA (2379 nucleotides) under Salmonella enterica. RNAcentral describes it as "partial 23S ribosomal RNA". It matches the Rfam family "Bacterial large subunit ribosomal RNA", at positions 580 to 2925 of the family's 2925-position model. Lineage: Bacteria; Pseudomonadati; Pseudomonadota; Gammaproteobacteria; Enterobacterales; Enterobacteriaceae. The record is from RNAcentral.
CAGGUUUACCUGUGUGACUGCGUACCUUUUGUAUAAUGGGUCAGCGACUUAUAUUCUGUAGCAAGGUUAACCGCAUAGGGGAGCCGGAGGGAAACCGAGUCUUAACCGGGCGUUAAGUUGCAGGGUAUAGACCCGAAACCCGGUGAUCUAGCCAUGGGCAGGUUGAAGGUUGGGUAACACUAACUGGAGGACCGAACCGACUAAUGUUGAAAAAUUAGCGGAUGACCUGUGGCUGGGGGUGAAAGGCCAAUCAAACCGGGAGAUAGCUGGUUCUCCCCGAAAGCUAUUUAGGUAGCGCCUCGUGAAUUCAUCUCCGGGGGUAGAGCACUGUUUCGGCUAGGGGGCCAUCCCGGCUUACCAACCCGAUGCAAACUGCGAAUACCGGAGAAUGUUAUCACGGGAGACACACGGCGGGUGCUAACGUCCGUCGUGAAGAGGGAAACAACCCAGACCGCCAGCUAAGGUCCCAAAGUCAUGGUUAAGUGGGAAACGAUGUGGGAAGGCCCAGACAGCCAGGAUGUUGGCUUAGAAGCAGCCAUCAUUUAAAGAAAGCGUAAUAGCUCACUGGUCGAGUCGGCCUGCGCGGAAGAUGUAACGGGGCUAAACCAUGCACCGAAGCUGCGGCAGCGACACUCAGGUGUUGUUGGGUAGGGGAGCGUUCUGUAAGCCUGUGAAGGUGUGCUGUGAGGCAUGCUGGAGGUAUCAGAAGUGCGAAUGCUGACAUAAGUAACGAUAAAGCGGGUGAAAAGCCCGCUCGCCGGAAGACCAAGGGUUCCUGUCCAACGUUAAUCGGGGCAGGGUGAGUCGACCCCUAAGGCGAGGCCGAAAGGCGUAGUCGAUGGGAAACGGGUUAAUAUUCCCGUACUUGGUGUUACUGCGAAGGGGGGACGGAGAAGGCUAUGUUGGCCGGGCGACGGUUGUCCCGGUUUAAGCGUGUAGGUGUGUGUUCCAGGUAAAUCCGGUUCACUUUAACACUGAGGCGUGACGACGAGGCACUACGGUGCUGAAGCAACAAAUGCCCUGCUUCCAGGAAAAGCCUCUAAGCAUCAGGUAACAUCAAAUCGUACCCCAAACCGACACAGGUGGUCAGGUAGAGAAUACCAAGGCGCUUGAGAGAACUCGGGUGAAGGAACUAGGCAAAAUGGUGCCGUAACUUCGGGAGAAGGCACGCUGACACGUAGGUGAAGUGAUUUACUCAUGGAGCUGAAGUCAGUCGAAGAUACCAGCUGGCUGCAACUGUUUAUUAAAAACACAGCACUGUGCAAACACGAAAGUGGACGUAUACGGUGUGACGCCUGCCCGGUGCCGGAAGGUUAAUUGAUGGGGUCAGCGCAAGCGAAGCUCCUGAUCGAAGCCCCGGUAAACGGCGGCCGUAACUAUAACGGUCCUAAGGUAGCGAAAUUCCUUGUCGGGUAAGUUCCGACCUGCACGAAUGGCGUAAUGAUGGCCAGGCUGUCUCCACCCGAGACUCAGUGAAAUUGAACUCGCUGUGAAGAUGCAGUGUACCCGCGGCAAGACGGAAAGACCCCGUGAACCUUUACUAUAGCUUGACACUGAACAUUGAGCCUUGAUGUGUAGGAUAGGUGGGAGGCUUUGAAGUGUGGACGCCAGUCUGCAUGGAGCCGACCUUGAAAUACCACCCUUUAAUGUUUGAUGUUCUAACGUGGACCCGUAAUCCGGGUUGCGGACAGUGUCUGGUGGGUAGUUUGACUGGGGCGGUCUCCUCCUAAAGAGUAACGGAGGAGCACGAAGGUUGGCUAAUCCUGGUCGGACAUCAGGAGGUUAGUGCAAUGGCAUAAGCCAGCUUGACUGCGAGCGUGACGGCGCGAGCAGGUGCGAAAGCAGGUCAUAGUGAUCCGGUGGUUCUGAAUGGAAGGGCCAUCGCUCAACGGAUAAAAGGUACUCCGGGGAUAACAGGCUGAUACCGCCCAAGAGUUCAUAUCGACGGCGGUGUUUGGCACCUCGAUGUCGGCUCAUCACAUCCUGGGGCUGAAGUAGGUCCCAAGGGUAUGGCUGUUCGCCAUUUAAAGUGGUACGCGAGCUGGGUUUAGAACGUCGUGAGACAGUUCGGUCCCUAUCUGCCGUGGGCGCUGGAGAACUGAGGGGGGCUGCUCCUAGUACGAGAGGACCGGAGUGGACGCAUCACUGGUGUUCGGGUUGUCAUGCCAAUGGCACUGCCCGGUAGCUAAAUGCGGAAGAGAUAAGUGCUGAAAGCAUCUAAGCACGAAACUUGCCCCGAGAUGAGUUCUCCCUGAGACUUUAGGUCUCCUGAAGGAACGUUGAAGACGACGACGUUGAUAGGCCGGGUGUGUAAGCGCAGCGAUGCGUUGAGCUAACCGGUACUAAUGAACCGUGAGGCUUAACCUUACAACGCCGAAG